Molecule: ribosomal RNA, 165 nt
Filed under: uncultured bacterium
Lineage: Bacteria
Description: partial 16S ribosomal RNA
Rfam family: Bacterial small subunit ribosomal RNA
Source: RNAcentral
UAGGGAAUCUUCCACAAUGGGCGCAAGCCUGAUGGAGCAACACCGCGUGAGUGAAGAAGGGUUUCGGCUCGUAAAGCUCUGUUGUUAAAGAAGAACACGUAUGAGAGUAACUGUUCAUACGUUGACGGUAUUUAACCAGAAAGUCACGGCUAACUACGUGUCCAG